AUGCGGCGGGAAGAAGUGGCAUUUAGAAGUGUUGCUGACUUUACAUUUAGGUUUCGGCAUAACAAAGCUUGCACUGUCUUUUCGCACUUAGGCGCACAGCGUGCCGUUGGUAAUGAUUCUACUACGGUGCUGCAAAUUCGCAAGCUGAUCCUAAGUAAUCGUUGUUGUUCAGUGGAUUCCUCCGGAAUUACUUCGUUAGGAUUGAAGAAUUGCAACAAUUCUUCCUGA
This 228-nucleotide ribosomal RNA is filed under the name Triticum aestivum (bread wheat). RNAcentral's name for it is "partial small subunit ribosomal RNA". The record is from RNAcentral. Lineage: Eukaryota; Viridiplantae; Streptophyta; Magnoliopsida; Poales; Poaceae.